Piliocolobus tephrosceles (Ugandan red Colobus) is the source of this 676-nucleotide long non-coding RNA. RefSeq lists it as uncharacterized. The transcript is spliced from 5 exons. NCBI's taxonomy places the organism in Eukaryota, Metazoa, Chordata, Mammalia, Primates, Cercopithecidae. The record is from RefSeq and is a predicted model, not a curated record.
GAGAUAAGGUUUCACCAUAUUUGUCACACUGGUCUCGAACUCCUGACCUCAGGUGAUCUGCCCGCCUUGACCUCCCAAAGUGCUGGGAUUACAGGUGUGAGCCAUAACGCCUGGCCCUAGUAUUUUUAACUAUUGGAAAUGAUACAGAUGUCUUGAGGGAAAAAUAUGGCUUCAUUUAUAAUGUGUUGAAGUGAAAAGAGAGAAAUCUGUGUUUGAUAUUUAAGUCUGAGAAUAACUUCAAUAAAAUAGCACAUGGAUUAAGAUGAAAUGUGAAAAUUUAUUUUCUCCCCCCUUCCAUGUAGAUUAUUAAGUGACUCUCCAUCUUGUAGAGAAAAUGAUUCAAUACAAUCAAGGAAAAAUGAAGAAAGUCAAGAGAUUCAGAAAAAACUGUAUACAUUAGAAGAACAUCUUAGCAGUGAGAUACAAGCCAAAGAGGAACUGGAACAGAAGUGCAAAUCUGUUAAUACUCGCCUAGAAAAAACAGCAAAGGAGCUAGAAGAGGAGAUUACCUUAAGGAAAAGUGUGGAAUCAGCAUUAAGACAGUUAGAAAGAGAAAAGGCGCUUCUUCAGCACAAAAAUGCAGAAUAUCAGAGGAAAGCUGAUCAUGAAGCAGACAAGAAACGAAAUUUGGAAAAUGAUGGUUUGUGUUGUAGAAUAUUAAUUAUCAAGAAAAAAA